Molecule: long non-coding RNA, 563 nt
Organism: Gallus gallus (chicken)
Lineage: Eukaryota; Metazoa; Chordata; Aves; Galliformes; Phasianidae
Source: Ensembl
CCCAACACCAUUGCUGCUGAGGGAUUAUUCCACGUUGGGGAGAAAGUUAUGUUGUUUGACUCUCAAGAAGAUAAAGAAAUGGAAUGGCAGCUGGAGAGGACAGGAAGAUUUGCAUGACAGUAGAACUACUGAUGUGAUGGACAGGAGCCAUGAAGUCAUUUCAAUGCCUACUUGUAAUCUAAGUUAUCCAGCCCUAUGUGAGUAUGUAAGACGGUGUUCUCCACCAGCACCGUCUUUAAAGAUGUAGAAGUGUCUGCAGGCUUAAAUGCAUCUCCUUUUUAUUUCAUGAAUGAAGAAUCCAUCAGAAAUCUCUGCACAAAGGCACUUCCAGUGGUAAUGGGCUGAUACACCAUUGCUGCAAACGCUGCAGGUCUGAAGUUUAUCUGGUUGGUUAACAGUGCGGGAUGAGAAUUUGUGGCAGUUUCUCACUGAGUUUCUCCAAGCACAGAGGAUUUGAACUGUAAUAAAUGCUGGAAGACAUCGGAUAGCUGCCAGGUGGGAUGGGUAUUGCCAUCUGCGAUUCCUUCCAGCAGCCCAAGCUCUCUCCUCAGACACUAUUUUUC